This is a non-coding RNA of Pelobates cultripes (western spadefoot toad), 347 nucleotides long. The record is from the annotation of a GenBank genome assembly. NCBI's taxonomy places the organism in Eukaryota, Metazoa, Chordata, Amphibia, Anura, Pelobatidae.
GGGGAGCUUUCCUCCUCCUCUUCUUCUUCCUAGCGACGUCUUCGGCUGAAUGCGCAUGCGCAGCAGGAGCCGCGCGCGCAUUCAGCCAGUCUCAUAGGAAAGCAUUCAUAAUGCUUUCCUAUGGACGCUGGCAUCUUCUCACUGUGAUUUUCACAGUGAGAAGCAAGCAAGCGCCUCUAGCGGCUGUCAAUGAGACAGCCACUAGAGGCUUUAGAGGCUGAAUUAACCCUCAGUGUAAACAAAGCAGUUUCUCUGAAACUGCUAUGUUUAUAAAAAAAAGGGUUAAUCCUAUCUGGACCUGGCACCCAGACCACUUCAUUAAGCUGAAGUGGUCUGGGUGCUUAUAG